GGGCGGAUAGCUCAGUGGUAGAGCGCGAAGCUUAUACCUUCGUGGUCGGAGGUUCGAGCCCUCCUCCGCCCACCA
This 75-nucleotide transfer RNA is filed under the name candidate division WWE3 bacterium. RNAcentral's name for it is "tRNA-Ile". It matches the Rfam family "tRNA". Rfam says of the family: Transfer RNA (tRNA) molecules are approximately 80 nucleotides in length. Their secondary structure includes four short double-helical elements and three loops (D, anti-codon, and T loops). Further hydrogen bonds mediate the characteristic L-shaped molecular structure. tRNAs have two regions of fundamental functional importance: the anti-codon, which is responsible for specific mRNA codon recognition, and the 3' end, to which the tRNAs corresponding amino acid is attached (by aminoacyl-tRNA synthetases). tRNAs cope with the degeneracy of the genetic code in two manners: having more than one tRNA (with a specific anti-codon) for a particular amino acid; and 'wobble' base-pairing, i.e. permitting non-standard base-pairing at the 3rd anti-codon position. The record is from RNAcentral. Lineage: Bacteria; candidate division WWE3.